UGGAGGAGGAGGCGAGCCGCAGCGCCGCGGCGACGAACCCAGGGAGUUCCAAGAUGAGAUGGGAUUCUCCAACAUGGAAGAUGAUGGCCCAGAAGAGGAGGAGCGUGUGGCUGAGCCUCAACCUAACACCCCUCAAGCUCUACGGUUUGAGGAACUACUGGCCAACCUACUAAAUGAACAACAUCAGAUAGCGAAGGAACUAUUUGAACAGCUGAAGAUGAAGAAAUCUUCAGCCAAACAGCAGAAGGAGGUAGAGAAGGUUAAACCCCAGUGUAAGGAAGUUCAUCAGACCCUGAUUCUGGACCCAGCACAGAGGAAGAGACUCCAGCAGCAGAUGCAGCAGCAUGUUCAGCUCUUGACGCAAAUCCACCUUCUUGCCACCUGCAACCCCAAUCUCAAUCCGGAGGCCAGUAGCACCAGGAUAUGUCUUAAAGAGCUGGGAACCUUUGCACAAAGCUCCAUCGCCCUUCACCAUCAGUACAACCCCAAGUUUCAGACCCUGUUCCAACCCUGUAACUUGAUGGGAGCUAUGCAGCUUAUUGAAGACUUCAGCACACAUGUCAGCAUUGACUGCAGCCCUCAUAAAACUGUCAAGAAGACUGGUAGGAGACAGAUGUGUCAGCUUUAAGUUUUUACUUGUGGUGAGAGGUGGUGGGAAUCUUAUCCCAUAGAUAACUUCCUAGGAUACUUGCCUAGGAAUGGAGGACACAGGACAUUUGUAAUUUCUUUCUUCUCUCUUUUAUCCUCCCUUUGUACUCAUUAUCCAAGUUCUAGAAUUACAUGAUAAUCUCUGGGCCUGGGUAAGGCGUGGAGGCAGUGGACAGUAUAGGAAUAUGGGAGGUAGAGAUCUGAGGCUCAGUGCUAAGAACUGGACUACAGCAAUAUGAGGGCCAAUGAAUUUCCCUGUUUGCCAAAGCAAGUGGCUUGGAUCCUGGCCACAAGCAAGGUUUUCAUGUAUCCAGAGUUACUUCCAGUGUGUUCCCUGAAGGCAAAGAAUCCCCAGGAUAAGAUCCUCUUCACCAAGGCUGAGG
This 1031-nucleotide small RNA is filed under the name Pongo abelii (Sumatran orangutan). RNAcentral's name for it is "processed transcript". The record is from RNAcentral. Lineage: Eukaryota; Metazoa; Chordata; Mammalia; Primates; Hominidae.